UAGGGAAUCUUCCGCAAUGGACGCAAGUCUGACGGAGCAACGCCGCGUGAGUGAAGAAGGAUUUCGGUUCGUAAAACUCUGUUGUUAGAGAAGAACAGCGCAUAGAGUAACUGUUAUGCGUGUGACGGUAUCUAACCAGAAAGCCACGGCUAACUACGUGCCAGCAGCCGCGGUAAUACGUAUGGAGCGAGCGUUGUCCGGAAUUAUUGGGCGUAAAGGGUACGCAGGCGGUUAGAUAAGUCUGAAGUUAAAGGCAGUGGCUCAACCAUUGUAGGCUUUGGAAACUGUUUAACUUGAGUGCAGAAGGGGAGAGUGGAAUUCCAUGUGUAGCGGUGAAAUGCGUAGAUAUAUGGAGGAACACCGGUGGCGAAAGCGGCUCUCUGGUCUGUAACUGACGCUGAGGCUCGAAAGCGUGGGGAGCGAACAGG
RNAcentral lists this ribosomal RNA (428 nucleotides) under Bacteroidota bacterium. RNAcentral describes it as "Bacteroidetes bacterium partial 16S ribosomal RNA". It matches the Rfam family "Bacterial small subunit ribosomal RNA", at positions 355 to 776 of the family's 1533-position model. Lineage: Bacteria; Pseudomonadati; Bacteroidota. The record is from RNAcentral.